AACAUCAAUCGCAGCUCCGAGCUCCACAAAGCUCGCCACGGCCUUCAAUGCUGUGUCGAGUGGGGUAGGUAUCGGGCAAAAGCGUAGAAUGAAUGCACGUUGCUGGGCGCCUGGCGUUGACUACUAUAUGGAAUGUUGGGAAUCAGUUGUGGCAAUAUUU
Molecule: small nucleolar RNA, 160 nt
Filed under: Sungouiella intermedia
Lineage: Eukaryota; Fungi; Ascomycota; Pichiomycetes; Serinales; Metschnikowiaceae
Description: Candida intermedia Small nucleolar RNA snR32
Rfam family: Small nucleolar RNA snR32
Source: Rfam by way of RNAcentral